UGGCAAAAUCCCCUCUAGAAACUAAGAAGAUGCCCAUCAGUUGGGGAAUGGCUGAGAAACCGAAGGCAUAUGGAUGUGGUGAAACAAAAUUGAGCUUGAUAAAAUAAAAGAGAAACCUGGGAAGAUUUGCUUGUACUGAUGCUAGAUGGAGGCUGGAGAACAAUUUAUCCUGCAUCAUAAACAGUGCAAAGAGAAAUUGGAAAGACUUAAGAAUUCUGCUCAACAUAAUGAUCAGCUGGGAUUCCAGAGGAACCCAUGAUGAACACUAUAGAACAGAGCCACGAUGGACCACUUUGCAGCAUAGUAUGCAAAUUUUUGACAUGGGCCAGUAUGGGAAUUUAUUCUGCUUGACUAUGUUCAUUGGUUGCAAAGUUCUGCUUUUCUUUUCUUGUUUUUCAAGUGAUGGCAAAUCAAGAAUAACCACAGCGAGUGAACGGCUACAAAGGACAAUAUACACACACCAGCAGAAUUUAUUUUAAAAAGAAGCUGUGUCAUUCUGUACGCUUCGAAUUUGAGAAUAACUUGUAAAUGGGAAUGCUAGUUUGUUAUUAUUAAAUUUUAAACUUGAGCAAUAUGUUUAAAAGACUGGUUUCCUCUAGGGAGGAAUUUACAGAUGAGGCAUUUAUUAAUUUAGCUAUGGCAAAAUUCAGAAAAAUUGGAAGAGAGAUUGUCUCAUGAUUUGGCAGAUAUGGAUAGCGCCAUUGCCGAGUAUUUUUCUUUGAAUGUAGCUUUAAAGCUAUUUUCUUGAAAUCAUUUCCUGGAUUUAAAAAUGAAAAAUAAUUAUUAGGAAUAAUAGUCUUUAUUUCAAAUUGCUCCUUCGGAAACACCCCUCAGGUUAAGUUUUUGUUUGCCAAAUUUCCCCUGGGAAAUCUAGGUUCUGUGGAAAUAUUUAUAAGGUAUCUUAUGAUUGAAUUAGACUUCAGCUAGAACUCUCCAAUGAAAAAUUAAAUGCAUAUAAGAUACCCGUAAAGAUAAAUCCAAACUUUUCAAAGUGCCCAGUCCCACUGCGAUGCAAUGCAAAACUACUUGGAGUAUUUUGGAGAAUUGAAUUAGGAGACAGUUGC
Molecule: long non-coding RNA, 1064 nt
Filed under: Monodelphis domestica (gray short-tailed opossum)
Lineage: Eukaryota; Metazoa; Chordata; Mammalia; Didelphimorphia; Didelphidae
Description: lncRNA (ENSMODG00000044156.1)
Source: RNAcentral